GUGGGGAAUAUUGCACAAUGGGCGCAAGCCUGAUGCAGCCAUGCCGCGUGUAUGAAGAAGGCCUUCGGGUUGUAAAGUACUUUCAGCGGGGAGGAAGGUGUUGAGGUUAAUAACCUCAGCAAUUGACGUUACCCGCAGAAGAAGCACCGGCUAACUCCGUGCCAGCAGCCGCGGUAAUACGUAGGGUGCAAGCGUUAAUCGGAAUUACUGGGCGUAAAGCGUGCGCAGGCGGUUCGGAAAGAAAGAUGUGAAAUCCCAGAGCUUAACUUUGGAACUGCAUUUUUAACUACCGAGCUAGAGUGUGUCAGAGGGAGGUGGAAUUCCGCGUGUAGCAGUGAAAUGCGUAGAGAUCUGGAGGAAUACCGGUGGCGAAGGCGGCCCCCUGGACAAAGACUGACGCUCAGGUGCGAAAGCGUGGGGAGCAAACAGGAUUAGAUACCCGUGUAGUCC
RNAcentral lists this ribosomal RNA (450 nucleotides) under uncultured Enterobacteriaceae bacterium. RNAcentral describes it as "bacterial SSU rRNA". It matches the Rfam family "Bacterial small subunit ribosomal RNA", at positions 354 to 796 of the family's 1533-position model. The record is from RNAcentral. Lineage: Bacteria; Pseudomonadati; Pseudomonadota; Gammaproteobacteria; Enterobacterales; Enterobacteriaceae.